GGAGUUUGGACCGUGUCUCAGUUCCAAUGUGGCCGAUCACCCUCUCAGGUCGGCUACUGAUCGUCGACUUGGUAGGCCGUUACCCCACCAACUAUCUAAUCAGAUGCGGGCUCCUCCUAUGCCGAUAUAUCUUUUCUCUAUAAACCAUGCGAUUCUAAGAGUUUAUGAGGCAUUAGCAUAAAUUUCUCUAUGUUAUUCCUCUGCAUAGGGCAGAUUGCCCACACGUUACUCACCCGUCCGCCGCUAAGUAACAAAAAGCAAGCUUUUUGUCCUUCGCUCGACUUGCAUGUGUUAAGCACGCCGCCAGCGUUCAUCCUGAUCCAUGAUCAAACUCU
RNAcentral lists this ribosomal RNA (335 nucleotides) under uncultured Clostridia bacterium. RNAcentral's name for it is "partial 16S ribosomal RNA". Lineage: Bacteria; Bacillati; Bacillota; Clostridia. The record is from RNAcentral.